UGGGGAAUAUUGCACAAUGGGGGAAACCCUGAUGCAGCAACGCCGCGUGAAGGAAGAAGGCUUUCGGGUCGUAAACUUCUAUCAAUAGGGACGAAGAAAGUGACGGUACCUAAAUAAGAAGCCCCGGCUAACUACGUGCCAGCAGCCGCGGUAAUACGUAGGGGGCAAGCGUUAUCCGGAAUUACUGGGUGUAAAGGGAGCGUAGGCGGCAUGGUAAGCCAGAUGUGAAAGCCCGGGGCUUAACUCCGAGGAUUGCAUUUGGAACUAUCAAGCUAGAGUACAGGAGAGGAAAGCGGAAUUCCUAGUGUAGCGGUGAAAUGCGUAGAUAUUAGGAAGAACACCAGUGGCGAAGGCGGCUUUCUGGACUGAAACUGACGCUGAGGCUCGAAAGCGUGGGGAGCAAACA
This 406-nucleotide ribosomal RNA is filed under the name uncultured prokaryote. RNAcentral describes it as "bacterial SSU rRNA". It matches the Rfam family "Bacterial small subunit ribosomal RNA", at positions 355 to 774 of the family's 1533-position model. The record is from RNAcentral.